UGUUUAGGUUUUUGGUGGUGAUGUAGUGGGUUUAGUUUUAGGUUAUUGGACACUUGUCACUCUAUAAAUCCUUCUUACACUUCUUACAAUUAGAAGCCUUUGUAGAAUAACUUGGCCCUUAUUUACAAAUAAAUUUUUAGUAUGUUAAGGUGAAGAUGAACCCUGCAUUUUUGGUCCGAAACAGUAUUGCUACAUGUUGGAAUCUUGUAUAAUAUUCUUUUAAAUUGUUUUCCUUUUUCAUUCUUUCUGAAAUUCAUUAUUAAAUCCAUGACUAUUUUCAUGCUAAGACAUCAUAAUCAUGUUCUCAUAAAGGAUAUGAAGAUUCACGCCUUGAUAACUAAGUUGGAUUUACGGUGAGGUAAUAUUAUUGUUUCUUUGCUUCUAGAAAUAUGUGGUUUCUCAUCCCUGUAUCAUCAUUGUUACAGAUGAUUUGCUUAGUGCAUAUAUAGCAUGAACUGAUAUAGAUUUUGUUUGUUAAUAUAUAUAUACAUUGUUAAUUGUUUAGUAUACAAUUAGAUAAUGGCAAUCAAGUAAAGUGGAAACCAUGGAUUUUGAUGUUCGUAUAAUUAGGCUAAUUUGUUGCUCGAAGUAUGGAGGGUGGUUUUGCUCGCCCUCUGUUGCCGUUUGAUACAGUUUACUUACACUUUGAUGCCAUUUAGACUUAGUUAUAGUGGAGUUGAUUUCAACAACAUUAAUGAUCAAUAUUAUUAUUGUUAUAUGUGUGUUUGUGUGAGAUCUUGUAAUUAAUUUGAACAUGAUAAUACUUGAAUUAAAGAACCCUAUGAACAGGGGCGGACCUAGGUUAGGCCCAGGGUGGGCGGGCGCACCCCUUGAAAAAAAAAAUUUAGUGUAUUUUUUAGACAAAAAACCUGACCGCACCCCCUGAAAAUAUGCUUGAACCACUCAUCCGCACCCCCAACAAAUAAUUUCUGGGUCCGCCACUGCCUAUGAACCUUACUAUUGUUGAAAUUGAUGCAUUAAAGGACGAAUAUGCAAGUGACCAGGCAUAUUGGAAUUCAUAGGAAGCUAACAUGGUUACAUUAUAUAUAUUUUGAUUCCCACAUUUUUUUAUAUGUGCAUAAACCAGUCUUAUGAUUUUGAAUAACUUUUCAGAAAAAAGGUGUGGUUGGUUUUUGGCUAAUUACAAUGAAGACAAUUGAAAUAUUGGCAGAGGUGGUAAGAACCCGAUUUACAAUAAUAUACACAUUUUGAACCACGGGGUGUCAGCCCAGUGGCCACUGGCACCCAUCUAAAACCGGUUCGGGAGUCCAAAGUGGUGCAGGUUUGAAUCCUGCUUGCAGGCUCUUCGCUCCCCUCGAACUCGGCUGGGUAGUCACUACCAGACAUCGUUGCCGGGUCAUUAGCUUGGGAAGGGAGAUCCCUUCCGCAGUCAGCAGUGCCGUGCAAUUACCCUUCCUUUCACAUUUUGUAAAAUUUAAAGUAUCGUUUAUGAGUACUGAAAAGAUAUUAUCAGAUCAGUGAUAUAAGAUUUUUUUGAAUAAAACGAUUAAAAACAUU
RNAcentral lists this long non-coding RNA (1518 nucleotides) under Helianthus annuus (common sunflower). RNAcentral's name for it is "hypothetical non coding rna". Lineage: Eukaryota; Viridiplantae; Streptophyta; Magnoliopsida; Asterales; Asteraceae. The record is from RNAcentral.